UUUUGUGGUUAGUAAAGGAGGAGUGAGAGCGAAGAGGAAAAGACGGAAGGUUGGCUUCGGGGUAGGGAACUAAGGUAGGUAGCAAGCCCUAGGAGGAGGAGAGCGCGCGAAGAUCCUGGCCAGGGAGCUUCGAAGAAGAAGAGGAACCUGAGCACGAACCGUACCGCGUCUGCUGGCACCACCACGGCCUCCACCCGUACUGCCGCGGGCGCGGGUGCCGCACGGGGACGGGCCCCAGGGACAAGGGCAUGGGUGGCGGCGCACGGCCCUACCGGCACUCGGCGUUCACGGACGCCCGGCGCGUCCGCCUCGAACCGCGGCCCUACGAGUCACCGGACCAGCUCAGGUACGCCCGCAGGAGGGGGUGCGUGCGUUCCCGGCGGCGCCGGGAGCGGCGGCCGCAGCUGCUGCUCGUGCGGCGGACCUACCGCUUCGUGGGCAGGCGGGACCCGUUCAAGCUCCUCUAGCACCGGCGCAGGUUCCCCUUCGUCUAGCAGUACAAGGACCUGAUGCUGCCGUGCGACAGGGGGUAGCAGCUACUGGGGCUGCGGCGGAAGUACUCGCUCUGCUACGCCUACCGGCACGCGUCGCACCGGUUCGUGAAGGGCUGCCGCUAGCAGUCGCCAGCCACGGCGCUGUUCCACAAACUAAAGCACUUCGACCGCCUCGAGAUGAUGCGGCCGUCGGUGCCGUACCUGUAGUUCCCGGGCCGGUUCAGGAGUUUCAGGUUCCGGUUUCCUCAAGAGAAGGUUGGUCGUUCGCUCAAGGACGGGUACUAUCUUCUCCACGUAGUCGCCGACUAUCUCCUCUGCUUCGUGCAUCGGCCCCGGUUCCACCUCUUGUUGUUCAAGACGCACAGGCAGGUGAAGUCUACGCAGCUGCUUUUCUCGACCCCGCGCGACCGCCUCUGCCACUUCCCGCACUACGCCCUCAUGGGCUUCGACGCGUACAGCGUCCCCGCCUACCACAAGCUCCACGCCGGGUGGUAGUUCACCCUGUUCCCGUUCCGGGAGCUCAAGGACGAGCUCAGCGACCCGAAGCGGCUGACGGGGUUGCACGAGGGGCAGAUGUAGCCGCUGCUGGCGUGGCUGCUCCUGCGGAAGUUCCACGACGCGGCCGCCCCGGUCCCGCAGCCCUAGGAGCAGAGGUUCGUGGGGUUCCUGUGGUCGCGGAGGAAGAGCGACGUCCUCGGCCGGCUCCAGUACCUCAAGGACGAGGCGGAGCAGCUCACCUUCGUCGAGAGGUUCCGCGCGGAGUCCGACGCCGCCGUCCGGCUGCGGACUAGCCUGCUGCUCCUAGCCGGCCGGCCGCCCUUACCGGCUUGAUUAAUAAAGUGACGAUGCACAUCGAAUCGAUCAAUUACUUUUAGGGGACGAACGAGUAGGCUUGUUUCGGUUUCCGAUGCAUGCACCUACCCUUCUUCCUUGCAUGAUGCCGCUUGGACGCCUCGUAACAACGCGGUGUACAACACAAGAUUAAUUGGCAGGAAGAAAAAGACCCCUACAUAUGGCAUGGAUGGCUAAUACGUACGUACAUUUAAUGGAAACAGGUGCAUGUUCCCCUCCUUGGUACCUUAUUUGUUUCUCUUUAGACUCAUUUAUCGUUG
RNAcentral lists this ribosomal RNA (1606 nucleotides) under Triticum aestivum (bread wheat). Its description in RNAcentral is "partial small subunit ribosomal RNA". The record is from RNAcentral. Lineage: Eukaryota; Viridiplantae; Streptophyta; Magnoliopsida; Poales; Poaceae.